AGAGUUUGAUCAUGGCUCAGGACGAACGCNGGCGGCGUGCUUAACACAUGCAAGUCUACGAGAACGAGGUAGCAAUAUCUUUAGUAAAGUGGCGUACGGGUGCGUAACACGUAAGCAAUCUACCUUUGGGUCUGGAAUAACUUCGAGAAAUCGAGGCUAAUACCGGAUAAUGCAGCGGCACCGCAUGGUGAUGUUGUUAAAGUUUAUGUAAUGCCUAUAGAUGAGCUUGCGUCUGAUUAGCUAGUUGGUGAGGUAACGGCCCACCAAGGCUACGAUCAGCAGCUGGUCUGAGAGGAUGAUCAGCCACACUGGAACUGAGACACGGUCCAGACUCCUACGGGAGGCAGCAGUGAGGAAUAUUGGGCAAUGCCCGCAAGGGUGACCCAGCAACGCCGCGUGGAGGAUGAAGGUCGUAAGAUCGUAAACUCCUGUUAGAGGGGAAGAACACCACCGAUUGGAUCGGUGUUUGACUGUACCCUCAGAGAAAGCCCCGGCUAACUACGUGCCAGCAGCCGCGGUAAUACGUAGGGGGCAAGCGUUGUCCGGAUUUACUGGGUGUAAAGGGCGCGCAGGCGGGAUAGCAAGUCAGAGGUGAAAUCCUACAGCUUAACUGUAGAACUGCCUCUGAUACUGUUAUUCUUGAGUUCGGGAGAGAGAGACGGAAUUCCAGGUGUAGUGGUGAAAUACGUAGAUAUCUGGAAGAACACCAGUUGCGAAGGCGGUCUCUUGGUCCGAUACUGACGCUGAGGCGCGAAAGCGUGGGGAGCAAACAGGAUUAGAUACCCCGGUAGU
Molecule: ribosomal RNA, 792 nt
Filed under: uncultured bacterium
Lineage: Bacteria
Description: bacterial SSU rRNA
Rfam family: Bacterial small subunit ribosomal RNA
Source: RNAcentral